GCCGGAGUGGCGAAAUCGGUAGACGCACGGGAUUCAAAAUCCCGCGGAGAAAUCUGUGUGGGUUCGAGUCCCACCUCCGGCACCA
Molecule: transfer RNA, 85 nt
Filed under: Verrucomicrobiota bacterium
Lineage: Bacteria; Pseudomonadati; Verrucomicrobiota
Also listed under: 5 other names
Description: Verrucomicrobia bacterium tRNA-Leu
Rfam family: tRNA
About the family: Transfer RNA (tRNA) molecules are approximately 80 nucleotides in length.
Source: RNAcentral